This 253-nucleotide ribosomal RNA is filed under the name uncultured bacterium. Its description in RNAcentral is "partial 16S ribosomal RNA". It matches the Rfam family "Bacterial small subunit ribosomal RNA", at positions 524 to 776 of the family's 1533-position model. The record is from RNAcentral.
UACGGAGGGUGCGAGCGUUGUCCGGAUUUACUGGGUUUAAAGGGUGCGCAGGCGGAUAUGUAAGUCAGUGGUGAAAUCUUCGGGCUCAACUCGAAGUCUGCACGAGAAACUAUCUGGCUUGAGUGUGGGAGAGGUGAGUGGAAUUCCUGGUGUAGCGGUGAAAUGCGUAGAUAUCAGGAGGAACACCUGUGGCGAAAGCGGCUCACUGGACCACAACUGACGCUGAGGCGCGAAAGCUAGGGGAGCAAACAGG